GACGAACGCUGGCGGCGUGCCUAAUACAUGCAAGUAGAACGCACAGUUUAUACCGUAGCUUGCUACACCAUAGACUGUGAGUUGCGAACGGGUGAGUAACGCGUAGGUAACCUGCCUGGUAGCGGGGGAUAACUAUUGGAAACGAUAGCUAAUACCGCAUAAUAUUGAUUAUUGCAUGAUAAUUGAUUGAAAGAUGCUAUUGCAUCACUACCAGAUGGACCUGCGUUGUAUUAGCUAGUAGGUGAGGUAACGGCUCACCUAGGCGACGAUACAUAGCCGACCUGAGAGGGUGAUCGGCCACACUGGGACUGAGACACGGCCCAGACUCCUACGGGAGGCAGCAGUAGGGAAUCUUCGGCAAUGGACGAAAGUCUGACCGAGCAACGCCGCGUGAGUGAAGAAGGUUUUCGGAUCGUAAAGCACUGUUGUAAGAGAAGAACGGGUGUGAGAGUGGAAAGUUCACACUGUGACGGUAUCUUACCAGAAAGGGACGGCUAACUACGUG
This 505-nucleotide ribosomal RNA is filed under the name uncultured bacterium. Its description in RNAcentral is "partial 16S ribosomal RNA". It matches the Rfam family "Bacterial small subunit ribosomal RNA", at positions 28 to 507 of the family's 1533-position model. The record is from RNAcentral.